This 56-nucleotide microRNA precursor is filed under the name Caenorhabditis brenneri. RNAcentral's name for it is "microRNA cbn-mir-58b precursor". Its record names the gene cbn-mir-58b. The record is from miRBase by way of RNAcentral. Lineage: Eukaryota; Metazoa; Nematoda; Chromadorea; Rhabditida; Rhabditidae.
GACCUUAUGGUUGAUCUCCUACCGACUAGCGGAUAAGAGAUCACCAUGGGGUACAA